CCCUUAGAUGUUCUGGGCCGCACGCGUGCUACACUGAGUGGAUCAGCGGGUCAGGUUGCGCGAAAGUGUUUCCUAAUCUUGAAAUCCGCUCGUGAUGGGGAUUGACGGUUGCAAUUUUCCGUCAUGAACGAGGAAUACCUUGUAAGCGCGGGUCAUCAUCCCGCGCUGAAUACGUCCCUGCCCUUUGUACACACCGCUCGUCGCUCCUACCGAUUGAGUGGUCCGGUGAGGCUUUGGGAUCUGAGCGGAAAGAGCGUUUCGCUGUUUCUGCUCGGAAAACUCAGUCGAACCUUAUCAUUUAGAGGAAGGAGAAGUCGUAACA
This 322-nucleotide ribosomal RNA is filed under the name uncultured eukaryote. RNAcentral's name for it is "partial 18S ribosomal RNA". It matches the Rfam family "Eukaryotic small subunit ribosomal RNA", at positions 1470 to 1796 of the family's 1831-position model. The record is from RNAcentral.